UAUGAAAAGUCAAUGUUUUAUCAAAAAAAUGAACUCCUUUUCUACUGAUUUUGUAACAUUUUGAAUGUUUCUGAAGAGUUCCUGUAUCCUCGGAUAAAAGUCUGCACUGGUUGCAGAAAACAACUCGACCUGCACACAUGGUGAAGGUUGCAGAUGUGCUCGGGUCUCUUCUUGGAAGAGGGAUUUUGCAGGAAGCGGUGAGCAGCAAGAGAACUACCAGAACAUUGGUACCUUGACUUCUGAUGUGUGAUGGAGGGAAACGUUUGGAUCUUCUCAGGAGGAUGCAAAUGAAAGCAUGAAGACUUCAGACAUCACAGAGGCUCAGAAAAAACUCAGAAAAAGACAGAGAAUGAGAGAACAGAAGAAGUUGAAGCAGCAGAAUCUUCUUCUAUGAGAUAUUCUUUUUGAAAUUUAUGCAAAGAGAAUGCAGCUUUGUAAAGGGAGCUGAGCAUAAUCCCAAACACUGAUGAGAAUGCUUGGACAAUGAAGACUCCUGUCUAAGAAGGACGAUAGAUUUGGAAAGUCCUAUAAAUCAAGAUACCAAAUGCCAGAGAGAGAAACACAGAAGAGGGAAAAAGACCCCUCACAAAGAAACUUCAGUGUUCCACUGUUCUUUUUGAAUCAGCUGGGCCUGGAUGAUGGAAAACAGUGUUAACAAGAAACAGGAGUUUCACAUUUAUUAUGCUUCCCCAGCCUUACAAAAUGAUUCAGGUUGAUAUGAUAAUUGAUUACAGUUAAUUUUAUCAUCAGAGCUCUCCACUUAAAUAAACUACGUACUUAAAGUACUUUGCCAAAGGUCCUACUCAUCAAGCAUGUAAUUCAACUGCACCAAAUUGUAAAUAUGUAAAAGUUACAUAUCUCAGUUUAUGCUACUCU
Molecule: long non-coding RNA, 876 nt
Filed under: Gallus gallus (chicken)
Lineage: Eukaryota; Metazoa; Chordata; Aves; Galliformes; Phasianidae
Description: lncRNA (ENSGALG00010027546.1)
Source: RNAcentral